CCCUUAGAUGUUCUGGGCCGCACGCGUGCUUCACUGAGUAAUUCAAUGGGUAAGGGAACGCUAGAGCAUUACCUAAUCUUGAAAUUUGCUCGUGAUGGGGAUCGACGGUUGCAAUUUUCCGUCGUGAACGAGGAAUACCUUGUAGGCGCAUGUCAUCAUCAUGCGCCGAAUACGUCCCUGCCCUUUGUACACACCGCCCGUCGCUCCUACCGAUUGAGUGAUCCGGUGAGGCUCUGGGACCUGGACGGAAAGAGCGUUUCGCUUGUUCUGUUUGGGAAACUUGGUCGAACCUUAUCAUUUAGAGGAAGGAGAAGUCGUAACA
This 322-nucleotide ribosomal RNA is filed under the name uncultured eukaryote. RNAcentral describes it as "partial 18S ribosomal RNA". It matches the Rfam family "Eukaryotic small subunit ribosomal RNA", at positions 1470 to 1796 of the family's 1831-position model. The record is from RNAcentral.